GCCUGGGUGGCUCAGUCGGUUAAGCGUCCGACUUCGGCUCAGGUCAUGAUCUCAUGGUUUGUGGGUUCGAGCCCCGCAUCGGGCU
Molecule: transfer RNA, 85 nt
Filed under: Felis catus (domestic cat)
Lineage: Eukaryota; Metazoa; Chordata; Mammalia; Carnivora; Felidae
Rfam family: tRNA
About the family: Transfer RNA (tRNA) molecules are approximately 80 nucleotides in length.
Source: Rfam by way of RNAcentral